GCCAUUGUGGUGUAGUGGUUUGAAUACUAGAAUACAACUCUGGAGAUCCGGGUUCAAUUCUCCACUCAGCCA
This is a non-coding RNA of Phrynosoma platyrhinos (Desert horned lizard), 72 nucleotides long. The record is from the annotation of a GenBank genome assembly. Lineage: Eukaryota; Metazoa; Chordata; Lepidosauria; Squamata; Phrynosomatidae.